This 60-nucleotide transfer RNA is filed under the name Marmota marmota marmota (Alpine marmot). It matches the Rfam family "tRNA", at positions 6 to 65 of the family's 71-position model. From Rfam's summary of the family: Transfer RNA (tRNA) molecules are approximately 80 nucleotides in length. Their secondary structure includes four short double-helical elements and three loops (D, anti-codon, and T loops). Lineage: Eukaryota; Metazoa; Chordata; Mammalia; Rodentia; Sciuridae. The record is from Rfam by way of RNAcentral. RNAcentral also lists the same sequence under 2 other names.
UGUGGCUCAGUGGUAGAGCACUUGCCUAGCAUGUGUGAGAACUGGGUUCGAUUCUCAGCA